UAGGGAAUCUUCGGCAACGGGGGCAACCCUGACCGAGCAACGCCGCGUGAGUGAAGAAGGUUUUCGGAUCGUAAAGCUCUGUUGUAAGAGAAGAACGUGUGUGAGAGUGGAAAGUUCACACAGUGACGGUAACUUACCAGAAAGGGACGGCUAACUACGUGCCAGCAGCCGCGGUAAUACGUAGGUCCCGAGCGUUGUCCGGAUUUAUUGGGCGUAAAGCGAGCGCAGGCGGUUUAAUAAGUCUGAAGUUAAAGGCAGUGGCUUAACCAUUGUUCGCUUUGGAAACUGUUAAACUUGAGUGCAGAAGGGGAGAGUGGAAUUCCAUGUGUAGCGGUGAAAUGCGUAGAUAUAUGGAGGAACACCGGUGGCGAAAGCGGCUCUCUGGUCUGUAACUGACGCUGAGGCUCGAAAGCGUGGGGAGCAAACAGG
RNAcentral lists this ribosomal RNA (429 nucleotides) under bacterium. RNAcentral's name for it is "partial 16S ribosomal RNA". It matches the Rfam family "Bacterial small subunit ribosomal RNA", at positions 355 to 776 of the family's 1533-position model. The record is from RNAcentral.